This 253-nucleotide ribosomal RNA is filed under the name uncultured bacterium. Its description in RNAcentral is "partial 16S ribosomal RNA". It matches the Rfam family "Bacterial small subunit ribosomal RNA", at positions 524 to 776 of the family's 1533-position model. The record is from RNAcentral.
UACGGAGGAUGCAAGCGUUAUCCGGAAUGAUUGGGCGUAAAGCGUCCGCAGGUGGCUGUGUAAGUCUGCUGUUAAAGAGUGAGGCUCAACCUCAUAAAGGCAGUGGAAACUACACGGCUAGAGUGCGUUCGGGGCAGAGGGAAUUCCCAGUGUAGCGGUGAAAUGCGUAGAUAUUGGGAAGAACACCGGUGGCGAAGGCGCUCUACUGGGCCAUAACUGACACUGAUGGACGAAAGCUAGGGGAGCGAAAGGG